GUCCAGACUCCUACGGGAGGCAGCAGUGGGGAAUAUUGGGCAAUGGGCGCAAGCCUGACCCAGCAACGCCGCGUGAAGGAAGAAGGCUCUCGGGUUGUAAACUUCUUUUAUCAGGGACGAAGCAAGUGACGGUACCUGAUGAAUAAGCCCCGGCUAACUACGUGCCAGCAGCCGCGGUAAUACGUAGGGGGCAAGCGUUAUCCGGAUUCACUGGGUGUAAAGGGAGCGUAGACGGCGACGCAAGCCAGGAGUGAAAGCCCGGGGCCCAACCCCGGGACUGCUCUUGGAACUGCGCGGCUGGAGUGCAGGAGGGGCAGGCGGAAUUCCUGGUGUAGCGGUGAAAUGCGUAGAUAUCAGGCGGAACACCGGUGGCGAAGGCGGCCUGCUGGACUGCGACUGACGUUGAGGCCCGAAAGCGUGGGGAGCAAACAGGAUUAGAUACCCGCGUAA
RNAcentral lists this ribosomal RNA (450 nucleotides) under uncultured bacterium. RNAcentral's name for it is "bacterial SSU rRNA". It matches the Rfam family "Bacterial small subunit ribosomal RNA", at positions 329 to 793 of the family's 1533-position model. The record is from RNAcentral.